AGCAUAACCUUUUUCCUUAGAAGGGAAAAAGCCUAUUAUCAGUCACAAGGAAUACAUUUUGGGGCCCCUAACACAGCUCAAGGUCUGGGCCCCUGGGGGCCCGCCUCCAACUCCCACCCAAGGGCCUGCCUCCAAAUCCCAUCCCAGGGCCUGCUUCCAAAUCCCGCCCACAGGAAUACACACACACAGACCCAAACACACGCACUGAUACAAAAAGGACAGAUACACACACACACACACACACAAAGAUACACACAUACUGACACAGACACAUACUGAAUCAGAGAUACACACAUACAGGCAUACAUACUGACACACAGAUACUGAAACAAAUAGAAUUUAUUUUUGUUGAUUGC
Non-coding RNA from Pelobates cultripes (western spadefoot toad), 356 nucleotides. The record is from the annotation of a GenBank genome assembly. NCBI's taxonomy places the organism in Eukaryota, Metazoa, Chordata, Amphibia, Anura, Pelobatidae.